CGCCAGUCCAAGAGGUUCAAACAUGAAGAGUUACAGAUCACGAACAAUAGUAACCAGGGGUUCUGAGGAACAACAGGAACCAGAGGUUCUGAGGAACAACAGGAACCAGAGGUUCUGAGGAGGAACAACAGGAACCAGGGGUUCUGAGGAGGAAAGACAGAAACCAGGGGUUCUGAGGAGGAACAACAGGAACCAGAGGUUCUGAGGAGGAACAACAGUAACCAGAGGUUCUGAGGAACAACAGGAACCAGAGGUUCUGAGGAGGAACAACAGGAACCAGGGGUUCUGAGGAGGAAAGACAGAAACCAGGGGUUCUGAGGAGGAACAACAGGAACCAGGGGUUCUGAGGAGGAACAACAGGAACCAGGGGUUCUGAGGAGGAACAACAGGAACCAGAGGUUCUGAGGAGGAACAACAGGAACCAGGGGUUCUGAGGAGGAACAACAGUAACCAGGGGUUCUGAGGAGGAACAACAGUAACCAGGGGUUCUGAGGAGGAACAACAGUAACCAGGGGGGUUUUGAGGAACAACAGUAACCAGGGGUUUUGAGGAACAACAAUAACCAGGGGUUCUGAGGAGAAACAAUAGUAACCAGGGGUUCUGAGGAACAAUAGUAACCAGGGGUUCUGAGGAGGAACAACAGUAACCAGGGGUUCUGAGGAGGAACAACAGUAACCAGGGGUUCUGAGGAGGAACAACAGUAACCAGGGGUUCUGAGGAGGAACAACAGUAACCAGGGGUUCUGAGGAGGAACAACAGUAACCAGGGGUUCUGAGGAGGAACAAUAGUAACCAGGGGCUAGGAGGAGUAACAAUAGUAACCAGGGCUUCUGAGGAACAACAGUAACCAGGGGUUCUGAGGAACAACAGUAACCAGGGGUUCUGAGGAACAACAGUAACCAGGGGUUCUGAGGAACAACAGUAACCAGGGGUUUUGAGGAACAACAGUAACCAGGGCUUCUGAGGAACAACAAUAACCAGGGGUUUUGAGGAACAACAGUAACCAGGGCUUCUGAG
This is a long non-coding RNA of Oncorhynchus tshawytscha (Chinook salmon), 1016 nucleotides long. The record is from Ensembl. Lineage: Eukaryota; Metazoa; Chordata; Actinopteri; Salmoniformes; Salmonidae.